This 22-nucleotide microRNA is filed under the name Manihot esculenta (cassava). RNAcentral's name for it is "mes-miR166h". Its record names the gene mes-miR166h. Lineage: Eukaryota; Viridiplantae; Streptophyta; Magnoliopsida; Malpighiales; Euphorbiaceae. The record is from miRBase by way of RNAcentral. RNAcentral also lists the same sequence under 1 other name.
UCGGACCAGGCUUCAUUCCCGU